GAGUUUGAUCGUGGCUCAGGAUGAACGCUGGCGGCGUGCCUAAUACAUGCAAGUCGAACGAAACUUCUUUAUCACCGAGUGCUUGCACUCACCGAUAAAGAGUUGAGUGGCGAACGGGUGAGUAACACGUGGGCAACCUGCCCAAAAGAGGGGGAUAACACUUGGAAACAGGUGCUAAUACCGCAUAACCAUAGUUACCGCAUGGUAACUAUGUAAAAGGUGGCUAUGCUACCGCUUUUGGAUGGGCCCGCGGCGCAUUAGCUAGUUGGUGGGUAAAGGCUUACCAAGGCAAUGAUGCGUAGCCGAACUGAGAGGUUGAUCGG
RNAcentral lists this ribosomal RNA (323 nucleotides) under uncultured bacterium. RNAcentral describes it as "bacterial SSU rRNA". It matches the Rfam family "Bacterial small subunit ribosomal RNA", at positions 9 to 307 of the family's 1533-position model. The record is from RNAcentral.